This is a long non-coding RNA of Acipenser ruthenus (sterlet), 484 nucleotides long. RefSeq lists it as uncharacterized. The record is from RefSeq and is a predicted model, not a curated record. The transcript is spliced from 3 exons. NCBI's taxonomy places the organism in Eukaryota, Metazoa, Chordata, Actinopteri, Acipenseriformes, Acipenseridae.
CUGUGACCUGUUUUUUCCCCUCCCUGUGCAGCAGCAAGGGUUUUUUUUCCUCACAUAAAUCCUAAUUCAUAUUACAGUACUGCUACCAGUGCCAAGCUGCAGCAACCAAAACUGUUAGUCCUCAGUUUUCAUUUCCCAUUUCUUUUUUUGCCUUCCUUUUCUUCUUCGUCCCCAGUGGAAAUUUCUCAAAGUCGUCGAUCAAUGCCUGCUCGUUUGAGAGAGUUUGUGUUCUGAAUAAAACUCAAGUGCCAAGAAAGUUAAAGGGAGCCGUACACCACAAAGUGCCAGUUCUGUGAGUAAUGGAAAGUAUUCUAAACUAUGUGAGAGAAAAUGUGAAUGAGAGUACAGACCCUGCAAGACAACAGGUAGGAAGGCAUGUUUUAUUGCAUAGCCAUGGCUCUUUUCCUGGUUGACAGUUUUACGCAACGGCGUUCUUUAGAAAGAGAGUCUUCAACAGGACGGUUUUCUGUCUUGUUACCUUGUC